This 253-nucleotide ribosomal RNA is filed under the name uncultured bacterium. RNAcentral's name for it is "partial 16S ribosomal RNA". It matches the Rfam family "Bacterial small subunit ribosomal RNA", at positions 524 to 776 of the family's 1533-position model. The record is from RNAcentral.
UACGUAGGGUGCAAGCGUUGUCCGGAAUUAUUGGGCGUAAAGAGCUCGUAGGCGGUCUGUCACGUCGGCUGUGAAAACCUGGGGCUCAACUCCGGGCCUGCAGCCGAUACGGGCAGACUAGAGUUCGGCAGGGGAGACUGGAAUUCCUGGUGUAGCGGUGAAAUGCGCAGAUAUCAGGAGGAACACCGGUGGCGAAGGCGGGUCUCUGGGCCGAUACUGACGCUGAGGAGCGAAAGCGUGGGGAGCGAACAGG